UCGCUUGCCAGGGAACUACGAGCCCCAGCUUAAAACCCAAAGGACUUGGCGGUGCUUUAGACCCCCCUAGAGGAGCCUGUUCUAGAACCGAUAACCCCCGUUAAACCUCACCCCCUCUUGUUCUCCCCGCCUAUAUACCGCCGUCGUCAGCUUACCCUCUGAAGGACUAAUAGUGAGCAUAAUUGGUACAACCUAAAACGUCAGGUCGAGGUGUAGCGUAUGAGGGGGGAAGAAAUGGGCUACAUUCACUGGCCCAGUGAAAACGAACGAUGCUUUGAAACACCUAUCCGAAGGAGGAUUUAGCAGUAAGAGGGCAAUAGAGUGCCCCUC
This 330-nucleotide ribosomal RNA is filed under the name Pomatoschistus lozanoi (Lozano's goby). Its description in RNAcentral is "partial 12S ribosomal RNA". It matches the Rfam family "Bacterial small subunit ribosomal RNA", at positions 865 to 1362 of the family's 1533-position model. The record is from RNAcentral. Lineage: Eukaryota; Metazoa; Chordata; Actinopteri; Gobiiformes; Gobiidae.